This 495-nucleotide unclassified non-coding RNA is filed under the name Hevea brasiliensis (rubber tree). The record is from RNAcentral. Lineage: Eukaryota; Viridiplantae; Streptophyta; Magnoliopsida; Malpighiales; Euphorbiaceae.
GUUUUUAUCUGCUGUUCUUUUCUCACUCCUAGCAGCCCUUGGUAGCUAAGGUAUUUGUAAUGCAUGAAGGACAGUAAAAGGCAAUCCACACCACAAACCGGAAACCAAGCAAUGAUGGUUGUUUUACAAGAAUUAUAUGUAGCUCCUACCAGGUUUAAAGUUGUUGUUUUGUAGUUUAUAUUCCUGGAGGAGAUUGUGGUGGGACGGCGGAUUCAUGCCACUCACCAGCUUCAAUGUUCAGGGCCUUCCUUGCAGUUGCUUGGUACUUUUCACUUCUGCCUACCCUCCUAGAUGGAAGAGACUGAGACGCAAUUGCUUUGCUCGAGUUACUGCUAGUGAUGGAUGAUAAAAAUUUCUCUUUUGAUUGAGUUUCAGAAGCAGAUGUGAUAACAGAAUCGAAGACACCACUCUCCCUUAAUCCCUGUAUAAUCACCAUAGGAGCAUGAAUUCGUGUUAAAAUGCCCUUCCUCAACAACUUGAUUUUUACGUCUUUGU